GGAAUUUUUUCAGUCAGGCUCCUGUCUGGAAUCCAGUUCAUAUCUGGUUUUAGGCCAAGCUUGGCUAUAAACAACA
RNAcentral lists this microRNA precursor (76 nucleotides) under Mesocricetus auratus (golden hamster). RNAcentral's name for it is "miRNA (ENSMAUG00000002723.1)". Lineage: Eukaryota; Metazoa; Chordata; Mammalia; Rodentia; Cricetidae. The record is from RNAcentral.